UGACAAUUAAGAUCAAAUCUGUACAGUCAGUUUUAGCAAGCACUGUGUCAACAUCAGUGUGCAGAAAUAUCCAGCAGCGGAACUUUAUUUACAUGAGGCAAGCCUUAAUCAAGCAGAUAUACAGUGCUAUCAAAGUAUUCCAGCACAGCUCUAAAAAGGUGUCGUGUUCUAGGAGUCCAUAAAUUCCAGCUGCGUUCAGAAAGUGCAAAGACAUUGAAAAACUACCGAAGGAGAACAGCAUCCCUUAUAAUUCUUCAAAGCAUUGAAAGGUAGACUGAAAAUGGGGGGUAAUAAUACACGAGCUGAAAAAGCAGAGCGAGAACGCAAUGAAGCUCAAGCAAAAAAGCAAGAACUCGAGAAAGAAGUUCAAAAACUACAACAAGAAAAAGAGUUUCAGCAAAGAACAGAAGAUGAAAGGAGAAGAGUGGACACGGAGAACAGAAACAGAGAACAAGAAGAAAAGACCAGAAUUCACAGAGAAAAUAAAACUUAACAAAAAGUUAUCAACAACAACUACAGUUUCCGUCAACAGGUUUUUAGGGAAAACGUUUUUUCAAUGGGAGCUAUUUAUUGUUUAAUUGACCAUAGAGAAAAUAACUGUUAUUAGACUAUAAAUAAAAAAAAAAAAACAACUGUAACAUUGUUUACUCAGAUCUAAGAAUAUUUUAGAUAAACUGCGAAACUGUAUUGAAUUCAAAACAUGAUAUUAAUAUUCUUCCUGUUUCCACUGUAACUUCAGAACAGUAGUGAUGUGAUGAAAAGGUACUUUGUGUAUUCACCUAAAAUAAGAAACUAUCAUCGCAAUUGUUUUGUCUGAAGUGACCUUGAAACAUGAUACACUUUUAUAACACGAGUUACAAAGGGUACUAUCUACCUAUAUUAAAUCACUGAUUGCAUGACAAUGUAAUCUAUGUAAAAGAGAAACUAAAUCAAUGUCUGUUGUCAUCAUACUUGCGGGUUUGUGAAAAGACGCCUAAUAAAAUGCUUUAACAAAGUA
Danio aesculapii is the source of this 997-nucleotide long non-coding RNA. RefSeq lists it as uncharacterized. The transcript is spliced from 3 exons. Lineage: Eukaryota; Metazoa; Chordata; Actinopteri; Cypriniformes; Danionidae. The record is from RefSeq and is a predicted model, not a curated record.